AUCCAGUUGACGAGUCCCAAAAUUGGACGAAACGCGUGUCACACUGUAU
RNAcentral lists this non-coding RNA (49 nucleotides) under Schistosoma bovis. RNAcentral also lists the same sequence under 1 other name. Lineage: Eukaryota; Metazoa; Platyhelminthes; Trematoda; Strigeidida; Schistosomatidae. The record is from RNAcentral.